RNAcentral lists this ribosomal RNA (435 nucleotides) under uncultured bacterium. RNAcentral describes it as "partial 16S ribosomal RNA". It matches the Rfam family "Bacterial small subunit ribosomal RNA", at positions 29 to 507 of the family's 1533-position model. The record is from RNAcentral.
AACGAACGCUGGCGGCAGGCUUAACACAUGCAAGUCGAACGCAUGCCUUCGGGCAUGAGUGGCAGACGGGUGAGUAACGCGUGGGAACCUACCCCUUGGUACGGGAUAGCUCCGGGAAACUGGAGAUAAUACCGUAUGUGUCCUGAGGGACAAAGAUUCAUCGCCAAGGGAUGGGCCCGCGUCGGAUUAGCUAGUUGGUGGGGUAACGGCCUACCAAGGCGACGAUCCGUAGCUGGUCUAAGAGGAUGAUCAGCCACAUUGGGACUGAGACACGGCCCAAACUCCUACGGGAGGCAGCAGUGGGGAAUAUUGGACAAUGGGCGCAAGCCUGAUCCAGCCAUGCCGCGUGAGUGAUGAAGGCCCUAGGGUUGUAAAGCUCUUUCACCGGUGACGAUAAUGACGGUAACCGGAGAAGAAGCCCCGGCUAAUUUCGUG